Molecule: non-coding RNA, 45 nt
Organism: Schistosoma haematobium
Lineage: Eukaryota; Metazoa; Platyhelminthes; Trematoda; Strigeidida; Schistosomatidae
Source: Rfam
AUCCAGUUGAUAAGUCCCAUAUAGGACGAAACGUGUGUCCUGGAU